This 465-nucleotide ribosomal RNA is filed under the name uncultured bacterium. Its description in RNAcentral is "partial 16S ribosomal RNA". It matches the Rfam family "Bacterial small subunit ribosomal RNA", at positions 28 to 507 of the family's 1533-position model. The record is from RNAcentral.
GACGAACGCUGGCGGCGUGCUUAACACAUGCAAGUCGAACGGAAAGGCCCUACUUGCAUGGUACUCGUGUGUCGCACGGGUGUGUAACAUGUGUGUGUUCUCCCCUGUUCUUUCUGGUAUGCCUGCGAGACUCUGUCUCUUACCCUAUAUGCUCCAUUUCUCGUGUUAUUGUUGUAUAGUUUUUUCGUUGUAGUCUUAGCUCGCGGCCUAUCCGCUUGUUGGUGGGGUAAUGGCCUACCAAGGCGGCGACGGGUAGCCGGCCUGAGAGGGUGGACGGCCACACUGGGACUGAGAUACGGCCCAGACUCCUACGGGAGGCAGCAGUGGGGAAUAUUGCACAAUGGGCGAAAGCCUGAUGCAGCGACGCCGCGUGGGGGAUGACGGCCUUCGGGUUGUAAACUCCUUUCGGUAGGAAAGAAGCUAUUAGUGACGGUACCUGGAUAAGAAGCACCGGCUAACUACGUG